This 741-nucleotide ribosomal RNA is filed under the name uncultured Corynebacterium sp. RNAcentral's name for it is "bacterial SSU rRNA". It matches the Rfam family "Bacterial small subunit ribosomal RNA", at positions 28 to 776 of the family's 1533-position model. Lineage: Bacteria; Bacillati; Actinomycetota; Actinomycetes; Mycobacteriales; Corynebacteriaceae. The record is from RNAcentral.
GACGAACGCUGGCGGCGUGCUUAACACAUGCAAGUCGAACGGAAAGGCCCUGCUUGCAGGGUGCUCGAGUGGCGAACGGGUGAGUAACACGUGGGUGAUCUGCCCCUUACUUUGGGAUAAGCCUGGGAAGCUGAGUCUAAUACUGGAUAGGACCAUGCUGUAGGUGGUGUGGUGGAAAGAUUUUUUCGGUAAGGGAUGAGCUCGCGGCCUAUCAGCUUGUUGGUGGGGUAAUGGCCUACCAAGGCGUCGACGGGUAGCCGGCCUGAGAGGGUGGACGGCCACAUUGGGACUGAGAUAUGGCCCAGACUCCUACGGGAGGCAGCAGUGGGGAAUAUUGCACAAUGGGCGCAAGCCUGAUGCAGCGACGCCGCGUGGGGGAUGACGGCCUUCGGGUUGUAAACUCCUUUCAGCCAUGACGAAGCCUCUUUUGGGGUGACGGUAGUGGUAGAAGAAGCACCGGCUAACUACGUGCCAGCAGCCGCGGUAAUACGUAGGGUGCGAGCGUUGUCCGGAAUUACUGGGCGUAAAGAGCUCGUAGGUGGUCUGUCGCGUCAUUUGUGAAAGCCCGGGGCUUAACUCCGGGUUGGCAGGUGAUACGGGCAUGACUGGAGUACUGUAGGGGAGACUGGAAUUCCUGGUGUAGCGGUGAAAUGCGCAGAUAUCAGGAGGAACACCGGUGGCGAAGGCGGGUCUCUGGGCAGUAACUGACGCUGAGGAGCGAAAGCAUGGGUAGCGAACAGG